GAGUUUGAUCCUGGCUCAGAACGAACGCUGGCGGCGUGCCUUACACAUGCAAGUCGUGCGAGAACGGUUCCUUCGGAAACCUAGUAGAGCGGCGAACGCCUGAUUAAUACGUGAGCGAUCUACCCGAGGGUGGGGGAUACCCCAGGAAAACCUGGACCAAUACCGCGUACAGCGUCGGAAGUGGAUGCCCGACGUGAAAGCCGGCCUCUUCGAUGCUGGCGCGUUCGAAUGAGCUCGCGGCCUAUCAGUUGGUUGGUGGGGUAACGGCCUACCAAGGCUAUGACGGGUAGCUGACGUGAGAGCGUGAUCAGCCACAUUGGGACUGAGACACGGCCCAGACUCCUACGGGAGGCAGCAGUGGGGAAUAUUGCGCAAUGGGCGAAAGCCUGACGCAGCGACCCCGCGUGGGGGAGGAAGGCCCUAGGGUUGUAAACCCCUUUCAGCAGGGACGAAAAUGACGGUACCUGCAGAAGAAGCCCCGGCCAACUACGUGCCAGCAGCCGCGGUAACACGUAGGGGGCAAGCGUUGUCCGGAUUUAUUGGGCGUAAAGAGCUCGUAGGCGGUUGCGUAAGUCGGAUGUGAAAACUCAGGGCUCAACCCGGAGACGCCAUCCGAUUCUGCGCUGACUAGAGUCCGGUAGGGGAGCAUGGAAUUCCUGGUGUAGCGGUGAAAUGCGCAGAUAUCAGGAGGAACACCAGGGCGAAGGCGGUGCUCUGGGCCGGUACUGCCGCUCAGGAGCGAAAGCGUGGGUAGCGAACAGGAUUAGAUACCCUGGU
This 777-nucleotide ribosomal RNA is filed under the name uncultured Gram-positive bacterium. RNAcentral's name for it is "bacterial SSU rRNA". It matches the Rfam family "Bacterial small subunit ribosomal RNA", at positions 9 to 791 of the family's 1533-position model. The record is from RNAcentral.